RNAcentral lists this long non-coding RNA (837 nucleotides) under Meleagris gallopavo (turkey). Its description in RNAcentral is "lncRNA (ENSMGAG00000018666.1)". The record is from RNAcentral. Lineage: Eukaryota; Metazoa; Chordata; Aves; Galliformes; Phasianidae.
CCUGUGCAACAGGGGCAAGUAUCAUUAAGAACAUACUGUUUUGUUUUUUACAGAUAUGUCCAAGCUCAUGGGAAAUGAGUAAAGAACCCAGCAAAGCUCUCCUGGGUUUAAGGAGAGAGACUAACCAUCAGAAAUGCUUAUUGAGGGUUGCUACUUUGGGGCAUGGGAGAAUUGAUACAUUCAUCUAUUAAAACACCUUCCUUUCUCCUUCAUCAUCUUCUCCCUGUGUCUCCAGAUUCUCAUGUGUGGAGAGUUGCUGAACUGCUACUUCCAGAAUUACAGAAGUUAAACUAGGAGAAACACAGAACCUUUCUAAAAGAAUGCUACACCCAUGUUUCUGAAAACUUUGAACAUUACAAAGUACCGCUGUGCUUUCAAAAGCUCUCCCACCAACAAAUAGCACACAAAAGAAUAUACACUCUACAAUGAAGGGCAGAUGCUCCUUUGUAGAAUAAAUCUUACGACUGGAGAGAGAAACCUGGAAAAAUGUGCAGGAAGUCACUGAGACUCUCUUCAUCCUCUGCUGCCAAGACAAGCAAAGGCAAGAUGUCAAUGGGCUUUAGUCUUGCCCUUCCCAUCCUGAAGGUGUGACCCCUAAUGCACACCCCAGCAGUCUGCAGGAUGUCACUGACAAAAGCACCUUAUUAUGCAGAAUGCUUAAGAGUCUUUUGAAGGGCUGGGAUUUUGGAGCUCAGAAAGAUGAUCUUCAUCACCUCUUUGCCAGCAUGUGUCCUACUAAUCCACUAAGGUGUGUAUAUUCAUGAGCUUUCUAUUGUGUCCCAAGGUUUCUAACUGGGUAUGUGGAGGUCUGUGCUGAGAAAAUGACAAAAUAAGGGA